This 666-nucleotide ribosomal RNA is filed under the name uncultured Pseudomonadota bacterium. RNAcentral describes it as "bacterial SSU rRNA". It matches the Rfam family "Bacterial small subunit ribosomal RNA", at positions 28 to 683 of the family's 1533-position model. Lineage: Bacteria; Pseudomonadati; Pseudomonadota. The record is from RNAcentral.
AUUGAACGCUGGCGGCAGGCCUAACACAUGCAAGUCGAACGGUAACAGGAAACAGCUUGCUGUUUCGCUGACGAGUGGCGGACGGGUGAGUAAUGUCUGGGAAACUGCCUGAUGGAGGGGGAUAACUACUGGAAACGGUAGCUAAUACCGCAUAACGUCGCAAGACCAAAGAGGGGGACCCUCGGGCCUCUUGCCAUCGGAUGUGCCCAGAUGGGAUUAGCUUGUUGGUGGGGUAACGGCUCACCAAGGCGACGAUCCCUAGCUGGUCUGAGAGGAUGACCAGCCACACUGGAACUGAGACACGGUCCAGACUCCUACGGGAGGCAGCAGUGGGGAAUAUUGCACAAUGGGCGCAAGCCUGAUGCAGCCAUGCCGCGUGUAUGAAGAAGGCCUUCGGGUUGUAAAGUACUUUCAGCGGGGAGGAAGGGAGUAAAGUUAAUACCUUUGCUCAUUGACGUUACCCGCAGAAGAAGCACCGGCUAACUCCGUGCCAGCAGCCGCGGUAAUACGGAGGGUGCAAGCGUUAAUCGGAAUUACUGGGCGUAAAGCGCACGCAGGCGGUUUGUUAAGUCAGAUGUGAAAUCCCCGGGCUCAACCUGGGAACUGCAUCUGAUACUGGCAAGCUUGAGUCUCGUAGAGGGGGGUAGAAUUCCAGGUGUAGCGGUG